This is a small nucleolar RNA of Dipodomys ordii (Ord's kangaroo rat), 127 nucleotides long. The record is from Ensembl. Lineage: Eukaryota; Metazoa; Chordata; Mammalia; Rodentia; Heteromyidae.
AGCACUUUUAUGCAUCUUCGUUUAAUUUGUAACAAAUAUUUACAGAUAGGUGAAAAUAGUAAAUCCUCUUUUGCAACCCAGAACUCAUUGUUGAGUAUGAGUUUUGGUACAUUUUAGAAGGAAUAUG